Molecule: ribosomal RNA, 465 nt
Filed under: uncultured bacterium
Lineage: Bacteria
Description: partial 16S ribosomal RNA
Rfam family: Bacterial small subunit ribosomal RNA
Source: RNAcentral
CCUACGGGAGGCAGCAGUGGGGAAUAUUGCGCAAUGGGCGAAAGCCUGACGCAGCGACGCCGCGUGAGGGAUGAAGGUCUUCGGAUCGUAAACCUCUGUCAGCAGGGAAGAACGGUCACUGUGCUAAUCAGCAGUGAAUUGACGGUACCUGCAAAGGAAGCACCGGCUCACACCGUGCUAGCAGCCACGGUAGUACGGAGGGUGCGAGCGUUAAUGGGAAUUACUGGGCGUAAAGCGCUCGUAGGCGGUAUGUCAAGGCAAGGGUGAAAUCCCCGCGCGCAACGUGGGAACUGCCUUUGAAACUGGCCAACUGGAGGGUGGGAGAGGAUAGUGGAAUGCCAGGUGUAGGAGUGAAAUCCGUAGAUAUCUGGAGGAACAUCAGUGGCGAAGGCGACUAUCUGGCACAUAACUGACGCUGAGGAGCGAAAGCGUGGGUAGCAAACAGGAUUAGAUACCCUGGUAGUC